Molecule: ribosomal RNA, 429 nt
Filed under: Actinomycetes bacterium
Lineage: Bacteria; Bacillati; Actinomycetota; Actinomycetes
Description: Actinobacteria bacterium partial 16S ribosomal RNA
Rfam family: Bacterial small subunit ribosomal RNA
Source: RNAcentral
UAGGGAAUCUUCCGCAAUGGGCGAAAGCCUGACGGAGCAACGCCGCGUGAGUGAUGAAGGUCUUCGGAUCGUAAAACUCUGUUAUUAGGGAAGAACAAAUGUGUAAGUAACUAUGCACGUCUUGACGGUACCUAAUCAGAAAGCCACGGCUAACUACGUGCCAGCAGCCGCGGUAAUACGUAGGUGGCAAGCGUUAUCCGGAAUUAUUGGGCGUAAAGCGCGCGUAGGCGGUUUUUUAAGUCUGAUGUGAAAGCCCACGGCUCAACCGUGGAGGGUCAUUGGAAACUGGAAAACUUGAGUGCAGAAGAGGAAAGUGGAAUUCCAUGUGUAGCGGUGAAAUGCGCGGAGAUAUGGAGGAACACCAGUGGCGAAGGCGACUUUCUGGUCUGUAACUGACGCUGAUGUGCGAAAGCGAGGGGAUCAAACAGG